AGUACUUACGGCGCCUGCCGGGUCGUGGUGACGAAAGCAGUUGCCAUGGAGUUGCCCUGAGUAACCCUGAGGCAGUGGGACGCCAAGACUGGAGAGGAAGCGACUGCCGAUCUGGUAAAUGAGGAGCCAAGGACAGGACUACGAUCACUGAAGCGUUCAAAGUCGGGGAAAUCACUGACCCAGUCCCUGUGGCUGAAUAACAAUGUUCUCAAUGAUCUGAGAGACUUCAACCAGGUGGCUUCACAGCUGUUGGAGCACCCAGAGAACUUGGCCUGGAUUGACCUGUCCUUUAAUGACCUGACUUCCAUUGACCCUGUCCUAACAACUUUCUUCAACCUGAGUGUCCUCUAUCUUCACGGCAACAGCAUCCAGCACCUGGGGGAGGUGAAUAAGCUGGCUGUCCUUCCUCGGCUCCGGAGCCUGACACUCCAUGGGAACCCCAUAGAGGAAGAGAAAGGGUAUAGGUAAGUGCCCUGCCGCUGGAGGUAGGGCCUAGCUCCCCUAAGGGAAAGGAGGAGGAGAAACAAGAAAUCUACGACCAUU
This 543-nucleotide small RNA is filed under the name Pongo abelii (Sumatran orangutan). Its description in RNAcentral is "retained intron". The record is from RNAcentral. Lineage: Eukaryota; Metazoa; Chordata; Mammalia; Primates; Hominidae.